Molecule: long non-coding RNA, 767 nt
Filed under: Salmo salar (Atlantic salmon)
Lineage: Eukaryota; Metazoa; Chordata; Actinopteri; Salmoniformes; Salmonidae
Description: lncRNA (ENSSSAG00000084134.1)
Source: RNAcentral
GAGCGAGGAGGGAGGGAGGGAGGGAGGUAGAGAGACGGACAGAUAGUAGAGAGAGACAGCACAUGGCGUUGUAACCAUAGCAGCAGUCUGCUCUACUUGACAGUAGAGUAAACAUCCUCCUUUCCCUAGCAACACCGAUUCACUACGGAAUUAAAGGCCAGUGCCUUACCAUCUUACACACACAUGACACACACACACACGCACACACAAAUAAAUGGCUUUGGAAUGACCCGUGUGAUACAUCUACCAGAGGAGAUGAUGAGGAGGGUGCUGAGGUAGAGGAGGGAGCUGAGGUAGAGGACGGAGCUGAGGGAGCUGAGGUAGAGGAGGGAGCUGAGGUAGAGGGGGGAGCUGAGGUAGAGGAGGGAGCUGAGGUAGAGGAGGGAGCUGAGGUAGAGGAGGGAGCUGAGGGAGCUGAGGUAGAGGGGGGAGCUGAGGUAGAGGAGGAGCUGAGGUAGAGGGUGGAGCUGAGGCAGAGGAGGGAGCUGAGGCAGAGGGGGGAGCUGAGGCAGAGGGGGGGAGCUGAGGCAGAGGGGGGAGCUGAGGCAGAGGGGGGAGCUGAGGUAGAGGAGGGAGCUGAGGUAGAGGGGGGAGCUGAGGUAGAGGAGGGAGCUGAGGCAGAGGGGGGAGCUGAGGCAGAGGAGGGAGCUGAGGUAGAGGGGGGAGCUGAGGUAGAGGAGGGAGCUGAGGUAGAGGAGGGAGCUGAGGUGGAGGAGGGAGCUGAGGCAGAGGGGGGAGCUGAGGCAGAGGAGGGAGCUGAGGUAGAG